RNAcentral lists this ribosomal RNA (2193 nucleotides) under Triticum aestivum (bread wheat). RNAcentral describes it as "partial small subunit ribosomal RNA". Lineage: Eukaryota; Viridiplantae; Streptophyta; Magnoliopsida; Poales; Poaceae. The record is from RNAcentral.
AUGGCCGUGCGUUUCCUCGUACUGUCCCUCCUCGUCUUGGCCUCCUCCAGCUCAGGCUCCACCACUUCGCUCGCCACCAACGCCACCGCCGAUGGCGGCUCGCUGGAUCGUCUGGAUGCGGGGAGCGUCACCACGUUCAGCUUCUCCAACUUCCAUCCCGAGUACCGCGGCAAAAACCUGACGGUGAUCGGCGACGCUGACAUCACCAAGGGCGCGCUCCAGAUCACGCCGGACACGGUCAACGAGGCCGCCCACUUCCUCACUAACAAGUCCGGCCGCGUCCUCUACUACGCCCAGGUCAGGCUCUGGCGCCGCGAGAAGGGCGGCAAGGCCAAUGCCAGCGCCGGCGGCAAGAAGGUCGCGUCCUUCCGCACCGUCUUCACCGUCAACGUCUUCCGCGUGUCGGGCACGGAGCCUGCGGAGGGGUUCGCGUUCCUCAUCGCGCCGUCCGCGGGCGAGCCCCCCGCCGGCAGCUACGGCGGGUACCUCGGCCUCACCAACGCGACGACCGACGGCAACGCCGCGAACAAGGUCGUCGCCGUCGAGCUCGACACCGAGAAGCAGCCCUACGACCCGGACGACAACCACAUCGGCCUCAACGUGAACAGCGUCGUCUCCGUCGCCAACGCCUCGCUCACGCCCCGCGGCAUCGAGAUCUCGCCGGUCAAGACCGCCAAGUACAACGUCUGGAUCGAUUACGACGGCGAGGCCCGCCGCAUCAAGGUGUACAUGGCUGACUUCGAGGACGCCAAGCCCGCGUCUCCGGUGCUCGCCGCGCCGCUGGACCUCGGGGCCACCGUGGCCGAGAGGUCCUACUUCGGGUUCGCCGCGUCCACGGGUACCAAGUACCAGCUCAACUGCGUCCUGGCGUGGAACAUGACGGUGGAGAAGCUCGACGAGCCCAACAACAAGGCCCUCAAGCUGGGACUCGCCGUCGGGGUGCCCGUCGCGGUGCUCGCGCUGGGCGCCGCCGCCGCAUUGGGGUACUACAUGUGCGUGGUGAGGCGGCGGAAGGUGGGCCGCGACAAGGGCAGCGCCAUCACCGGGACGAUGAUCCGGAGCCUCGCCGGCGGGCCGCGGGAGUUCGACUACCGGGAGCUGCGGAAGGCGACCAACAACUUCGACGAGAGGAUGAAGCUGGGGCAGGGCGGGUACGGGGUGGUGUACCGCGGCACGGUGACCGACGACCACAGCAACCCGACCGCCGCGGGGACCACGGUGGAGGUGGCGGUCAAGAAGUUCUCGCGGGCGAGCACGCAGGGGCAGAACGACUUCCUCGCCGAGCUCAGCAUCAUCAACCGCCUCCGCCACAAGCACCUCGUCCGCCUCGUCGGGUGGAGCCACGACAAUGGCGAGCUGCUGCUGGUGUACGAGUACAUGUCGAACGGCAGCCUGGACCAGCACCUGUUCAGCUCAGCGCCGGGGUCGCGGCCGGGGCAGCCGCUCGGGUGGGAGCUCCGGUACAGAAUCGUCCAGGGCGUGGCGUCGGCGCUGCACUACCUGCACGACCAGUUCGACCAGCGCGUGGUGCACCGCGACCUCAAGGCCUCCAACAUCAUGCUCGACGCCGCCUUCACCGCGCGCCUCGGCGACUUUGGCCUGGCCCGCGCCAUCGAGACGGACAAGACCUCCUACAUGGAGGAGGCCGGCGGCGGCGUGCACGGCACCGUCGGCUACAUCGCCCCCGAGUGCUUCCACACCGAGAAGGCCACGCGCGAGUCCGACGUCUACGCCUUCGGCGCCGUCAUCCUCGAGGUGGUCUGCGGCCGCCGCCCGCGCUGCGACAUCGACGGCUUCCACUUCCUGGUGGACUGGGUGUGGCGCCUCCACCGCGACGGCCGCGCGCUCGAGGCCGUCGACCCCGGCCUCGACGGCGCCUUCGACGAGGACGACGCCGAGCGCCUGCUCAUGCUGGGCCUGGCCUGCAGCCACCCGACGCCCGCCGAGCGGCCCAAGGCGCAGGCCAUCUCGCAGAUCCUGCUGCGGUCCAUGCCGACGCCGGCCGUGCCGCCGUUCAAGCCCUCCUUCGUGUGGCCGGCGACGGACGGAGGAUUCGACACCAUGUCCACGACGGCGGGAUCGACGUCGAGCACGGUCGUGACAUCCACGUCCACCUGGAGCGGCAACUUCGCGAGGGGCAGCCAGAACCACGCGCCGCCGGCGGAGCAAGACACCUCCGGUUCAGUGGUUUGA